CACAGGACCUUUUGGCUGGCUGUAGACGACGCAGAGGGCAUUUAACACAGCCUCGAAGAUGAAUGCCGGACUUUGUGUAGAUCCUGAGCGGUUUAUUCGGUGAUGUGUGAACUAAAGUUGAAGAUAUAAGUUUGUCCUCACUGCUUCUGGUGGAGACAAGAACAAUAACUUUAGUGUUAUGAAAUAAGUUUCUGUCACGUUGUGUUUUCCUUCACUUUUCCUAGUCAGCCUUUGUUUUUAUUUUUGUAUUUUUUGCUACAUAUUUCGAGAGGAUGAAGACAGACCUGAGAAAGAAAACUGAUGCUACACACACGCUGUUUAGCGACUGCAGCUCUUUCCACUGAAGAUGGACACAGGAGAGGAGAGGUGGCCGAGACCAGGCGGCUGAGCUGGCGCUGAGCUCAGGAAGAAUGCAUUUGUCUCCGGUCGGCACAAACAGACGUUGCUUCCUGGCCUCUUCGGCCCUCUGUGCCAUCGUGCUGCUGCUGAUCCCGACUCUCCAAACGCCCCAGCGGCAGGGCAAGCUGCCUCGACCUCUGCCCCAUACCAGGCCUACAGGGGGAGAAAACGCCACGGACAACAAAGCUGCUAGUAACUCUAAGCACAGCAGUGUCACUAGUGACAAAUCCCAAAGAGACUCAGGAGGUGCCGAUUUCCUCAGUUCACGAGCCAAGGAGCCUCUAAGACUAAAAGACAUUUUUAUUGCAGUCAAAACCACCAGGAAGUAUCACAGAUCACGUCUGGAGCUGCUUUUUCAGACCUGGGUGUCAGAAGCCAAAGAGCAGACAUUCAUCUUCACUGACGGUGAGGAUAAAGACCUGAAGCAGAAAGCCGGAGGCAGCGUGAUCAACACCAACUGCUCAGCCGCUCACACACGCCAGGCGCUGUGCUGCAAGAUGUCUGUGGAGUACGACAAGUUCAUCGAGUCACAGAAAAAGUGGUUCUGUCACGUGGAUGACGAUAAUUACGUCGUCCUGCGGAGUCUGCUGCAGCUGCUCUCCUCCUAUUCCCACACGCAGGAUGUGUACCUGGGCCGGCCCAGCCUCGAUCACCCUAUAGAGGCUCCUGAGAGGGUCAGGAGUGAUGGAUCGACGUCUGUCAAGUUCUGGUUUGCUACAGGAGGUGCUGGCUUCUGUAUCAGUCGAGGCCUGGCACUCAAGAUGAGUCCAUGGGCAAGUCUAGGGAACUUCAUCACUACAGCGGAGAAGAUCCGUCUCCCAGACGACUGUACGAUCGGUUACAUCAUCGAAGCGCUGCUGGAGGUUCCUCUGACGCACACCAACCUGUUCCACUCACAUCUGGAGAACCUGCAGAGGAUGCCUGCUGAGAACGUCCUCCAACAGGUCUCCCUCACGCUUUCUCACUCGGGUCACCCUCAGCUACGGCGGUUUUGAGAACAGGAGGAACGUGGUACCUAUUGCCGGAGCGUUCUCCUUGACCGAAGACCCUUCACGGUUUAAAACCGUUCACUGCCUACUUUAUCCUGAGACUGAAUGGUGUCACCGCAGUAGACAUCACUGACCUCAACACGUUGUUCUGGAGACAAGGAAAAUAUCUGGGGUCUUGUGUGAAGGAUACUUUCAUGCAUUAAUAUCGCUGACUAGCAGGCUGAUUACCCCGUCAAGUUAAAACUGCUGCAUUUUGUUCAGAUUUCAUUGAAAAAUCUGAUUUAUUUUUAAACAGCAAAAGAUUACACGUUAGCAUUAUUAUUAUUUUCCCUCAAGCUUAUUUCAGACCAUUUUGGGUUUUGUGGAUCAUCUGUUACUCUUUUUUUUUUUUCCCCCAAGUAUGCAUCAGCUCAAGGCUUUAAAUUGCUGAACUGAGCCAUUCUUGUAAGCAUGCCAUGCAGGAGGAAAUAUCGGUUUCAUCUCUUUGGGAGUCAGGUUUCACCUCCAGACAGACUCCAAAACAAAAAUAGAAGUCAUGAGGACACAUCUAAAUAGGGUUUCACGGUACUACGGCUGCGGUUUAGGCUUGACCUCAGUUCACGGGCUCAUGGAAGCCUGGAGAUGAAAGCUGAAGGAUAUCUAAAGUAGAUUUUAAUGUGAUGAUAACACAGGAAGGAAUUGAGUCAUCUCUGAUGCAUAUCGUGGACUAAAGUAAAAGAAAUUCUCUACUGGGCUUUAUAAUUCUUUCACUAAAUGAUGUCUUAACAUUAACAUAUUUCUGCCAAAAUAUUUUUUUUUACAUGCCUUUUCACUGCUGGUCAGUGAUUUCAUGUGAGCUUGCCAAAAAAACAGACUGAGGUAUUACUUUCUUCGUUAGCGAUGACGAAUAUGUUGUUAUUGCCGUGCGAACAGAAGAGGAUUAAGCAAUGCCAAGCUGCUGCCAAAUACUGUUGCUGAUUGCUUCUUAUCCUGUCCUCCUAUUCUCAUGUAAAUAAACCAUGUUGAGCUUUUUAA
Hemibagrus wyckioides is the source of this 2402-nucleotide RNA transcript. It is a transcript of the gene named RFNG O-fucosylpeptide 3-beta-N-acetylglucosaminyltransferase, with no coding region annotated. The transcript is spliced from 9 exons. The record is from RefSeq and is a predicted model, not a curated record. Lineage: Eukaryota; Metazoa; Chordata; Actinopteri; Siluriformes; Bagridae.